Molecule: ribosomal RNA, 200 nt
Filed under: Vibrio parahaemolyticus
Lineage: Bacteria; Pseudomonadati; Pseudomonadota; Gammaproteobacteria; Vibrionales; Vibrionaceae
Description: partial 23S ribosomal RNA
Rfam family: Bacterial large subunit ribosomal RNA
Source: RNAcentral
GAGGCGAACCGGGGGAACUGAAACAUCUAAGUACCCCGAGGAAAAGAAAUCAACCGAGAUUCCGAAAGUAGCGGCGAGCGAAAUUGGACUAGCCCUUAAGCUUUACACGCGUUAGACGAACGGUCUGGAAAGUCCGACGAUACAGGGUGAUAGUCCCGUAGUUGACGACGUGUGUUCAGUGAAAUCGAGUAGGGCGGGAC